This is a long non-coding RNA of Acanthopagrus latus (yellowfin seabream), 580 nucleotides long. RefSeq lists it as uncharacterized. NCBI's taxonomy places the organism in Eukaryota, Metazoa, Chordata, Actinopteri, Spariformes, Sparidae. The record is from RefSeq and is a predicted model, not a curated record. The transcript is spliced from 3 exons.
UAUAUGUGGUUGUUUGCAUCCUGGCUCCUCUGUGUAUUUUGACCCUGUGCUCCUGUGGAUACGCUUGCAUGGUUAAUACCGCUGUGUUUCUCCCACUUUGCCUCAGAUUGCCAUGCUAACCUUGUAGGUUCGUGUUACUUCCCUGCCUGCCUGCGGAUCUGCCUGCCAGCUGCCUGCUCUCCUGUGUUUCCUCGCUGAGUACUUGCUGUAUAAUGAGUCAUCUGGCUAAGAAAACAGAUACUUCUCGACGCGUCACCUUGCGCAAUUGAUGACCCUCUGAUGAAACUGUACUCUUUCUAUCAUCGUUCUCCCCCAAAAAUGGAGAGAGCUGAAUGCCAUCGGAGAGGAACUUGAGGAACACGUUGUGAAAGCAGCUCACUCCCAGGGGCCAAGGUGGAUAGACCACAGGAGGAGGGCUGUUUCCUGUCUUGCCAUGACAAACUAUAGGAGCAUUGUCGCUCACCUCCAGGAAAGCCAGGAUGAGGCCACACCGGAGAAUGAGAAGAUCAGGGCAAUGUGACAGAAGUUAACCUCGCCAAAGUUUGUUUUCAAUAUGGCACUGUAUCAGGAUCUUUUAUCU